UGUUGGAACUAUUCGAAACAACACAGCAAGUUAAAAUAAGGCAGAGGUUUUAACCCAGUCCGUAUCCAACUUGAAAAAGUGGCACCCGAUUCGGGUGUUUUUUU
RNAcentral lists this small RNA (104 nucleotides) under Streptococcus henryi. RNAcentral's name for it is "Trans-activating crRNA". It matches the Rfam family "Trans-activating crRNA". From Rfam's summary of the family: RNA-guided Streptococcus pyogenes Cas9 (SpCas9) is a sequence-specific DNA endonuclease, the Trans-activating CRISPR RNA form an hybrid with the crRNA (crRNA/tracrRNA). The record is from Rfam by way of RNAcentral. Lineage: Bacteria; Bacillati; Bacillota; Bacilli; Lactobacillales; Streptococcaceae.